CCUACGGGUGGCAGCAGUAGGGAAUUUUGCGCAAUGGGGGAAACCCUGACGCAGCAACGCCGCGUGAUCGAUGAAGCCCUUCGGGGUGGAAAGAUCUGUCAGUGGGGACGAAACCUGACGGUACCCACAGAGGAAGCACCGGCUAACUCCGUGCCAGCAGCCGCGGUAAUACGGGGGGUGCAAGCGUUGUCCGGAAUCAUGGGGCGUAAAGAGUUCGUAGGUGGCACGUUAAGUCUGGUGUUAAAGGCGGAAGCUCAACUUCCGUAGGGCACUGGAUACUGGCGAGCUUGAAGGCGGUAGAGGUAAAGGGAAUUCCUGGUGUAGCGGUGAAAUGCGUAGAGAUCGGGAGGAACACCAGUGGCGAAGGCGGCCUACUGGGCUUUAACUGACGCUGAGGCACGAAAGCGUGGGUAGCAAACAGGAUUAGAUACCCGAGUAGU
Molecule: ribosomal RNA, 440 nt
Filed under: uncultured bacterium
Lineage: Bacteria
Description: partial 16S ribosomal RNA
Rfam family: Bacterial small subunit ribosomal RNA
Source: RNAcentral